This is a long non-coding RNA of Magallana angulata, 581 nucleotides long. RefSeq lists it as uncharacterized. The record is from RefSeq and is a predicted model, not a curated record. The transcript is spliced from 3 exons. NCBI's taxonomy places the organism in Eukaryota, Metazoa, Mollusca, Bivalvia, Ostreida, Ostreidae.
GUUGACCUCAUGCGCGUCAAGUUUAAGUCUUACGAUUAAUUGCUGGAGAGAGGCGGCACGAAUUUUUCCAUUUUUCUUUGCGAAUGAAUUAUGCAUUUACGGGGCUUGUUAUUAACUGGUCCAUAUGCUGAGUAGGUUUUGAUUUUUGGCCCCUUUUUUUCGUGAGUACCUUUUGUGCAUUGGUUUGGUUUGCUCUCAAAUGCAAAUAAAAUAUGACAUUAACAAAUUCUUGAUUGUUAUAGAGGAGUUAGACGUUGCCUUCAACUUCAUUUAAAUACUGUCGUUUUGUAGUGCAGUUGCCCUAACAGCUGUACCGAAGCCCAGAGCCUUGGCUGAGGGAGGCAACGUCUGCCCAGAAGAGAGAUAUGGGAAAAUGAGGAAUGGACAGCCCUCCAGUUUAUAACAGGAUGAUGAAGGCAAAGUCCUCUGAUGUAGAAUCCAACAACCCGUAUAGAUAAAAGAAUAAUUGCUGAAAUGAAAGGUUUUCUGACAGAUGUUAAACGAAAAAAAAUGGUGCGAUGAAUAUCAUUAGUAAAUCGUUAUAGUUGUAAACUAUAGGAAUCAUUUUGUACCAAACUGCC